UCAAUUUGUUCAAGUAACAUUUAAAAUCAAUCUGUGUAAAAGGGCUGCCUACAUCAGAUCAUCCAUUGGUAUAAAGGGAAUAUUCCCAUGGAAAUUAAGACAUUAUUGUGACCAGUAACAAUUGCAGCAUUGAGCUAUUUGCGUUGAUUCUUCUUUGGCAUUCAAUUCAUUGCAUUUUAUCUCAAAGCAUAUAUGAAGCUUUAUAUGCUGGAUCUUUUAGAACGGAAACUCUUUCGACACAAAUCAAAUUGAGCAUUGUCAAAGGCUAGGGAGUCAAUUGUGGACCAAAUUCAUUUUCCAAAAAUAGUUCAGAUGUAGCCGUAUCAACAGUUGUGUGCCUGAAUUUGAUUGGCUGUUGUCAGAUGAGCUUUAUGGCUCGGCACAGUUUUUGGUGAAACUGGCACAGUGUGCAAUCAAUUAGAUCCAGCGCUGAUUCCAGGACUGCAUAUUUUGGCAAUAACUCUUUUAGACAUGGCCAUGUGGCACAGCAGGGGGGCUCUGAAAUCUUGUUUGAUCUCUGCACAGUGAAGCUUGUUGAAAAUCCUUUAUAGAACUGAGAGAUGGUGACGUGGUUACAACUGGAACCAUGCACACAUCAGUUGUGGUUGGAUCAAACAGCAAUGGAAAUAAUCUGUACUUUCAUUUUAACUAACUCAUAUAUUCUCUGACAGACUACUUAUUCUAGUGAAAAAAAACCCUCUUGAUGACAUCCCCUGUGCACACUUCGUCUGACAUUUGGUAGCUCUUACUAGUGGUUACGGGCAUGGCAAAAAAAACAAAAACGAAACGUGCUCUGAUUUAAACUGGCUCCUGUGUGAGUGUGCAUGGCUGCUGUUUGCCACAUUUGAUAUUGCAUUCCUGCAAGAGCCAAGAGGUUGGAUGUGGCAUGUUAAAGUGUUCCAUGAACAUAAUCGCUGUAACAAUCAGAAUUGACUUGCAGUUCUCUGCAUCACAGCUUUGUUGUAGGUUUGUCAACAACUGCUGCUUUGCCUCCACGUGGCAGUUUUUGAAUAAAAAUCUGAAAGUAGA
Long non-coding RNA from Labrus mixtus (cuckoo wrasse), 1029 nucleotides. RefSeq lists it as uncharacterized. The transcript is spliced from 2 exons. Lineage: Eukaryota; Metazoa; Chordata; Actinopteri; Labriformes; Labridae. The record is from RefSeq and is a predicted model, not a curated record.